Dermacentor albipictus is the source of this 547-nucleotide long non-coding RNA. RefSeq lists it as uncharacterized. NCBI's taxonomy places the organism in Eukaryota, Metazoa, Arthropoda, Arachnida, Ixodida, Ixodidae. The record is from RefSeq and is a predicted model, not a curated record.
AGUUCGCAAGUUAGCCUUAUGUGGUAGGUCAUGCGGAACUCAACUUCGGAUUGUGCCCGGUGCUUUUCCGCUUGACAUUUCCAGCUGAAACGAAAUCACGUUCGACGGACAGCCGAUGACACGGAAUAACUUUCCAUUUCGUCAUGGGUUCCAUUGGCCACAUCGCACUCCGUCAGAGCAACACGUCGAUGCUAUCGUCUACGUUAGCGUCGUGUUUGUGGUCUUUGCCACCAUAGUUCUGCUGCUCCUGGCGACCAAUUGCCGCAGUUUACCUCCUGCAGCCGCGCCCCUGACAGCCGAAGAACCCCAGCCUCAACCGACGAUUGUGCACCUCAAGAAUUCCGGUGUCUGUGUGCGCACUGAGACGUUUGCUGAAGAGAACAUUGUGUGAACUGUGCCUGGCACUCUCCAUUAGCUUCACUUUACCAGAACACUUUGAUAUGGGCUAACAGUGGGGAGCAUAGAAAAGAACACAGAAGGGAAGAAGGAGCGUGCAAUAACAUCUUUGUUUCGAUGACGCAAAACUACCAUCCUGAAUAUUUGUAAA